RNAcentral lists this unclassified non-coding RNA (291 nucleotides) under uncultured Glomeraceae. Its description in RNAcentral is "sequence contains ITS2". The stretch from base 1 to 52 matches the Rfam family "5.8S ribosomal RNA", at positions 103 to 154 of the family's 154-position model. Lineage: Eukaryota; Fungi; Glomeromycota; Glomeromycetes; Glomerales; Glomeraceae. The record is from RNAcentral.
AACGCAUAUUGCACUCUCUGGUAUUCCGGAGAGUAUGCCUGUUUGAGGGUCUGUUAAAUAAAAAUCGAGGUUGUUGCUGCCUUUUUUGUGUGGUGACGCUUUGGAAUUGGGUUUUCUUUACCUUCGGGUUAAGUGGCCUAAAAUUUUUACAUGAUUUUUCGAACGUAUUUAAAUCUUUUACGUACGUUUGGUUAUAUCGAAUAUAUUAGGUGUGGUCAUCUUCAUGAUUUCACGUCUAUAAUUUUUUCAUUUUUAGACCUCAAAUCAGGUAAGAACACCCGCUGAACUUAA